CAUUAAGAAGCUGUAGGUUAGCAACAGCCUUUUAAUCUGUAGAUAGGUGAUUCCAACCACCCUUAAUGA
RNAcentral lists this transfer RNA (69 nucleotides) under Rana omeimontis (Omei wood frog). Its description in RNAcentral is "tRNA-Lys". It matches the Rfam family "tRNA". Rfam says of the family: Transfer RNA (tRNA) molecules are approximately 80 nucleotides in length. Lineage: Eukaryota; Metazoa; Chordata; Amphibia; Anura; Ranidae. The record is from RNAcentral.